AUCGGUUCAUUUGUCCUUGUGUUCGGCUGUAUUCGUUGCCUGAUAUCAUCGUCCUUUAAUAACUGUCUUGCGCGAUUGUAUCAACUUCGUAACUGCUUUUGUUAUACUUACCGUACGGAUCAGUUUUAAUAUUAAUACGUUAAAUUACAUUACGUUUAUCUUAAUUACAAUAAAAAAAAAUAAUUACUGUAAAAAUGUGAGUGAUUGAACACUUAAUCCUAAAGGAUAUUUCCAAAGUAAAAGAUUCUUAUAUCUUCAUCAGUACAAAGGAGGUAAUAUUGGACAACUUUACAAAAGCUAAGUCAUGGAACAAAACAUUGCUUUCCCAUUAAUUCCAUAGCGCAUCCAGGUAUUCAAAUGCAUGUCUCGAAUUUCACAGACGUUCUACGUUAGGAUCCAUCAGGAAUGAAGAUAUUUGUACCAAUACAUGAUGUCAUCUUAUCAAGGAAGAGGGAAUAGUCUAACUACGUGGAAUGAUUGGAUGAUGACUAUACUGCGAUGAAUUUUG
Long non-coding RNA from Agrilus planipennis (emerald ash borer), 508 nucleotides. RefSeq lists it as uncharacterized. Lineage: Eukaryota; Metazoa; Arthropoda; Insecta; Coleoptera; Buprestidae. The record is from RefSeq and is a predicted model, not a curated record. The transcript has 4 exons.